GAUGAAGAACGCAGCGAAAUGCGAUACUUGGUGUGAAUUGCAGAAUCCCGUGAACCAUCGAGUCUUUGAACGCAAGUUGCGCCCGAAGCCACUAGGCCGAGGGCACGCCUGCCUGGGCGUCACACGUCGUUGCCCCCACAUCUACUCCUUCGGGAUUGCGGGGGGGCGGAUGAUGGCCUCCCGUGCGCCUAGCCGCGCGGUUGGCAUAAAUACCAAGUCCUCGGCGACGCACGCCACGACAAUCGGUGGUUGCGAAACCUCGGUUGCCCGUCGUGUGCGUUCGUCGCGCAUCGAGGGCUCGAAAAAAUGCUCGGCUCCGGCUGGGCUUUCAACGCGACCCCAGGUCAGGCGGGGUUACCCGCUGAAUUUAAGCAUAUCAAUAAGCGGAGGA
This 391-nucleotide unclassified non-coding RNA is filed under the name soil metagenome. RNAcentral describes it as "partial contains 5.8S ribosomal RNA, internal transcribed spacer 2, and large subunit ribosomal RNA". The stretch from base 1 to 122 matches the Rfam family "5.8S ribosomal RNA", at positions 35 to 154 of the family's 154-position model. The record is from RNAcentral.